GAACAAACAAAGAAACAAAAAAUGGUAUGGUAAAGCUGUGUGGAGACACAAAUAAACACUUGUCAGGUCAGGGUUCCAAUAAUCACAUAUAAAAAUAUAUAGAUUUAUUAGUAUAAUUGAGUAAACAGCUUCUGAGAAUUCUGAGCAAAGUUUCGGAUCGAAUUCUUGUUUGUUGAGGUGAAGCCCAGCAGACCCUCCUGGUAUGGAACUUUCAAUUCUUUGAUUUUGAUUUAUUCUUCUUCUGUUAUGGAUAGUUAUCCACAGAAAUACUAUUAUAUUCCUGAUUUCAUACUGAUGCAUUUGUUUUUUUUAAUAUCAAUUCCAGUUUUUUAAUAGGAAAUAAGUAAAGGGUCUGAGUGAAAUUGACUUGUGGUUGUGGGUUUGACUUUGAUCAAGAUAAAGUACUGAAUUUGAAGGAAAGUUUAUGUCUUCAGAUUGUUUGCGUUCCUGAUUUGUGAUUUUUCUGGAUCUUGUUAAUGGGAUGCUGCUUAAUUUUUUUCAUGCAGAACCAGAGGUGACAGAUCAGAAGUUUAUGGAGAUUGGUGGUCUGGUCUGGGAGGAAGAUUCCUGAAUUUUAGAGCUUCAGGAUAAUCUAAUAAUGGGUUGUUGUCAGAAUACUGAUUCAAGAUUUCUUGUUUUUUCUUCGCUUUUUUUUAAGCGAUGAAGUAUAUAAAGAUAUUUUUUUUUUUGCAUCAAAUUGGUUAGUGGAAUUUGAUUAAAUUUUGAGGUUUCUUAUUGUUUGAAGCAGUUAACAAGUAAAUAAGUUGUGGAUAUUUGAUAAAUUUUUACUUAGUGAUGGAGGAACAAAGAGUUUAUAGCAAAAGGGCACCUGAAAAUUUAGCUAACAAUUUGAAGGUAGAAGAGGAUGAAGAAGAGUUUCGAAGCUGUUGUGAAGAUGAAGAUGAAUUGAGGGAGAGGGAGAACUCGGUAAAGGAGGUUUCUGAAACCAUUGAUCUUGAUGAAUAUUCUGUGAGAAUGUAUUUCAAGGGUAUAUCAGUUGCUGCUCCUGGAGAAUCUGGUUCUGGAUUUUCUGGAAUUGGAGUGGUUAUGGAGAGGUCUGCAAAUGCUGCUCCUAUUCAAGUGCAGAAAAAGCUUGAUUUUUAUGUUGCAGAAUCUGUGGCCAAUUAUUUAGCUUUAAUGGAUGGUUUAGUAGAAGCUAAAGAGAACAAGAUUAGGAAGGUAUUUGCCUUCACAGAUUCCAAGAUUCUUCAUGAUCAGGUCAGAGAUUUCUCCUUGAAAAUGUCAUCCAUAAAUUCAGUGUUUCAUGAUUUUUUCACUUUUGAUAACUCCUACAUUGAUUGAUUGUUUGGUGACAAUAGUGCUGAAAGAUGUACUUUUUAAUCUGCUGGAAUUUGGGAAUGUGUCAUACAACGCGUUCUGAAUAAAUGUGCCUUGACAAAAUUCUUUUUCUGUUCAAUAUAUUUUAACAUGGUGCUUUCCAUGAAUGCUCUUUCCAAUUACUCCUUUUUUACUUCAACAGAGUGCUAAAGGACCUUUCUUUUUCCUUCUGUGUUAGUUUUCUUGCUAAAUUUGAAGUCAGUGGUAAUUACCGCUUCCCAUCCUUUGAUUUUGGUAUUUAAUCUCACUAAAUCGAGUAGAAAAAGCAUGUAUUUAGAACUGUAGGAACUUUGUUAUACAGAAAAACAGUUCCUAUGUUUCGUUUUUUAACUUAUAUGCAACCAGAUACAGAUUCCUAGUAAAGAAAAGCACUUUCAUCAGAAAGAUACUUUUCUGCUUAAUAACAUGUAAGAAGAUGGGUGAUUCCUAUUUGCUUAUCUGCUAACCAUACACAUAGAGGUCUAGUCAUUCAUAUUUGGGCCUCAAAGAUCAGAACUGCUUAUUGUUUGACUUCUCAUUUUCUGAAAGUAAUAUAACUUUCUGUCAGGUUAUGCAUGGUGAGAGACUUGAGGAUCCACUUCUAAUGGCACUGAAGCAAAGGAUCCUGGAACACACCUGUGAUUUGGAAGCAUUCACACUUGAUUUUGUUCCCAGAAUUAACAUUAAUGCUUUAGGAUUAGCCCAAGUAGCUGUUGGUGUUAUUGCUUUUCCUGCUGAGGGUAACCAAUCGACACAGAGUUGCUCAAUAUGUUGUGACGAGAAGCUUGCUUCGAUGAUGAUGACAAUGAAAUGUUCCCACAAAUUCUGUUCUCACUGCAUGAAACAAUACGUUGAGGAUAAGAUACAAUUUAGUCAAGUCCCAGUUAGAUGUCCUCAACUGAAAUGCAAAUACUACCUUUCUGCUACUGAAUGUAAAACUUUUCUGCCUGUCAUCUCCUAUCAAUCUUUGGAGAAAGCUCUUGCAGAUGCAAAUAUUCUGAACUCCGAUAGCAUGUAUUGCCCUUAUCCUAAUUGUUCAGUCCUACUUGAUCCUAAUGAAUGCUCGUCAUCUAGGGCAAGUUCAUCAAGUAACUCAGAGAACAGUUGUGUGGAAUGCCCCGUUUGUCAGAGGUUUAUCUGUGUGGAUUGUGGGGUCCCUUGGCAUUCGUCAACAACCUGUGAAGAGUAUCAGAGUCUUCCACUGGAGGAGAGGGAUGGAAGUGAUAUCACUUUAUGUCAUCCAGCUCAGAAUAAGAGGUGGAGACGCUGCGGACAGUGUCAUAGGAUGAUUGAGCUCAUGCAUGGGCGCUACCGUAU
This 2634-nucleotide long non-coding RNA is filed under the name Coffea arabica (coffee). Its description in RNAcentral is "long non-coding RNA (CARA_LNC006228)". Lineage: Eukaryota; Viridiplantae; Streptophyta; Magnoliopsida; Gentianales; Rubiaceae. The record is from RNAcentral.